Molecule: long non-coding RNA, 493 nt
Organism: Aplysia californica (California sea hare)
Lineage: Eukaryota; Metazoa; Mollusca; Gastropoda; Aplysiida; Aplysiidae
Exons: 2
Source: RefSeq, a predicted model, not a curated record
CUCUUGAUUACCUUGUGUUGUCAAUGAUUACUCUUGAUUACCUUGUGUUGUCAAUGAUUACUCUUGAUUACCUCGGCGAGGUCAAUGAUUACUCUUGAUUACCUUGUGUUGUCAAUGAUUACUCUCGAUACAUCGACGUUCUCAAUGAUUACUCUUGAUUACCUCGACGAGGUCAAUGAUUACUCCUGAUUACCUUGUGUUCUCAAUGAUUACCCUUGAUUACCUUGUGUUCUCAAUGAUUACUCUUGAUUACCUCGAUGAGGUCAAUGAUUACUCUUGAUUACCUCGAUGAGGUCAAUGAUUACUCUUGAUUACCUUGUGUUGUCAAUGAUUACUCUCGAUACAUCGACGUUCUCAAUGAUUACCCUUGAUUACCUCCAUUUCGUCCGGCUGACUGUGGUAUUUCUGCUGACUUUGGCUGCUGCCUACAAAAAAAAAUCUUGUUGCUUUUUGAUUAUAAAAUUCGGAUUUCUUUACAAUAAAUGUUGACGUU